UCGAGAAUCUAAGUGGAGUCAAAGUUCUGCUUCACCAAGGCCCACAAAAUGCAGUAGACUCAUUCCAGUUGUCCAGAGUCCACCCACUUUGAACUUAGAACAAAGAGAACUCUCCAUCCAGAGUUUGGAUAACUCUCCCAUCAAGGUUAACUGACAUUGAGGGAGACUUGCUUUUUCACACAUGGCCUGAGUUCCUUCCUUCCCAGCACGCCUGCCUGCCAAAUCUCAUCCCUACCUCUGCCUGAGGCCUCCAGA
RNAcentral lists this long non-coding RNA (255 nucleotides) under Homo sapiens (human). RNAcentral's name for it is "HSALNT0153893". Lineage: Eukaryota; Metazoa; Chordata; Mammalia; Primates; Hominidae. The record is from RNAcentral.